AACGAACGCUGGCGGCAUGCCUAACACAUGCAAGUCGAACGAGACCUUCGGGUCUAGUGGCGCACGGGUGCGUAACGCGUGGGAACCUGCCCUUAGGUUCGGAAUAACUCCCCGAAAGGGGUGCUAAUACCGGAUAAUGUCUUCGGACCAAAGAUUUAUCGCCUUGGGAUGGGCCCGCGUUGGAUUAGCUAGUUGGGAGGGUAAAAGCCUACCAAGGCGACGAUCCCUAGCUGGUCUGAGAGGAUGAUCAGCCACACUGGGACUGAGACACGGCCCAGACUCCUACGGGAGGCAGCAGUGGGGAAUAUUGGACUAUGGGCUAAGGCCUGAUCCCGCACUGCCGCGUGAGUGAUGAAGGCCUUAGGGUUGUACAGCUCUUUUACCCGGCGUGAUACUGACGGUACCGGGAGAAUAAGCUCCGGCUAACUCCGUG
This 433-nucleotide ribosomal RNA is filed under the name uncultured bacterium. RNAcentral describes it as "partial 16S ribosomal RNA". It matches the Rfam family "Bacterial small subunit ribosomal RNA", at positions 29 to 507 of the family's 1533-position model. The record is from RNAcentral.